Molecule: long non-coding RNA, 4101 nt
Filed under: Eucalyptus grandis
Lineage: Eukaryota; Viridiplantae; Streptophyta; Magnoliopsida; Myrtales; Myrtaceae
Description: long non-coding RNA (EGRA_LNC005955)
Source: RNAcentral
GAAAAACACAAUGAGAAGCAAAAAAGGUUACAGAACAAUUUAGCUCUUUAGUUAAUGAACUAACAUAAAUCAAAUUAUAUGGAGAUUUGAGAUGAAGGAUGGAUGAUAAAGAAAUGGAGGAACUCAAAUGGGCAUCUCCAGUGCCAGUAACUUGGGAAAUUGAACCAUCAGCUAAGGUAACAGAGUUGAACUAACAUAACCUGAUGUAGAUCUUCUACUAGUAGAACAUCCAGCCCAAUUCGCAUCAGAAAAACCUGUGGUAUUUAGGUGGCCACAAUUCUUGAAAAUUAGUCCUUUACCUGGUGCUCCUUUCAAGUAUUUGAUAAUUCGAAGCACAGCAUCCCAGUGAGUAGUCCGAGGAGAACCCAUGAAUUGGCUUACAACACUAACGGCAAAAGAUAUAUCAGGUCUCGUGACGGUAAGAUAAUUCAACUUACCAACUACUCUCCGAUAUUUCAAUGGGUCGUGUAAUAAUUCUCCAUCUUCUGCAUCAAGUUUCACAUUGGGUUCCAUAGGAGUAUCAACUGGUUUUGCUCCAACAAGCCCAACCUCAUCAAGAAUGUCAAGGACAUAUUUUCUCUGAGUUAAAUUUAUACCUGUAUGCGAGUAGGCAACCUCAAUACCUAGGAAAUACCGCAAAUGUCCCAUAUCCUUAGUACUAAACUGUGUAUGCAGAAAUUGUUUGAGUCGUUGAAUACCAUCUGAAUCACUGCCAGUAAUGAUAAUAUCAUCCACAUAUACCACCAGAAGAAUACAACCAGCUGAGGAGACAGAACUGAAGACUGAAUGGUCUACUUGACAACGCUUUAAUCCAAACUUAAUAACAGCAUCACUAAACUUACCAAACCAAGCACGUGGAGAUUGCUUGAGUCCAUACAAUGCCUUAUGUAAAUGACAUACCAGAUUCUCCCCUUGAGCAACAAAUCCAGGUGGUUGCUCCAUAUACACCUCUUCAGCCAAAUCACCAUGUAGGAAUGCAUUUUUGAUGUCUAAUUGAUGAAGAAACCAUCCAAAAUGUGCUGCUAGAGAAAUAAAGACACGAACAGAUGGAAUUUUGGCUACAUGAGAAAAAGUGUCAUCAUAAUCAACACCAUAUGUCUGAGUAUAUCCUUUAACGACUAACCGUGCCUUCAAUUGAUCUAUAGUGCCAUCAGGGUGGACCUUAACCGUGAAAACCCAACGACAACCAACAGGUUGCUUUCCCACAGGAAGAGUAGUAAGCUUCCAAGUGCGAUUCUCAAUGAGUGCUUUCAUUUCAUCCUCCAUGGCUUGUCUCCAACCAGGAUGAGCAAGAGCUUCAGUAACAUUGCUAGGCACAUAAAUAGAGGACAAGGACGAGACAAAAGUAGAGAAGGUAGGAGAUAAACGAUCAUAAGACAGAAAGUUGCUAAUAGGAUGACGAGUACGAAGACAAUCAGAUAGACCAGAAUAAAGUGUAUAACGAUCCACAGGACGCCCAACAAAAGAUCGUGUACCUUUUCAAGUAGCAAUGGGUUGACCAGGAUCAUGAUCAGGGGAUGGCACAUCAAUUGAUGAGGGAUCAGAUGAAUUAGGUGAUGGCCGUACCUCUGUAGUGGGAGCUGUUCCUCGUCUAUGGUAAGUUUGAUUAGCAAACUGAAAUCCUGUUGAUGAUACUGGAGGAAGUGAGAUUGGUGGAGGAAUUGGUAAGACACACUUGUCAGUGUCAGGAGACACAGUAGAGACUGUUUGAGUACUAUAGUAUGGCUGGUCCUAAAAAAAUGUCACAUAUGCUGAUACAAACACUCGACGACUAAUAGGAUUGUAACAUUUAUAACCCUUAUGAGUUCGAGAGUACCCAACAAAGAUACAUUUAUCAGCACGAGGAGCCAACUUAUCAAGACCUGGAGUCAGAGAAUGGACAAAACAAACAUAGCCAAAGACACGUAGAGGUAAUGCAAAGGGAGGACGAUUUGGAUGUAAAAUAGAGAAGGGUGUCUCCCCCUGAAGAACAGAAGUUGGAAGCCGAUUAAUUCAGAAGCAGGCUGUAAGAACAUCAUGACCCCAAAAUGUUUUCGGAAGAUGCAUGUGAAACAUAAGACAACGAGCAACGUCAAGAAGAUGACGAUUUUUACGUUCAGCUACACCAUUUUGUUGUGGUGUAUAUGAACAAGAAGUUUGAUGAAUAAUGCCAUGGGAAUCAAGAAAAGGUUGAAAACCAGAGGCAACAGCAGGAUACUCUUUGGCAUUAUCGGAUCAGAGAUUUUUCAUAGAAGUAUUAUAUUGAUUCAGCACUUCAAAAUAGAAUUGACGAAAGCAAUGAAAAAUCUCAGUAUGAUCUUUUAUUAGGAACAACCAAGUCAUUCAGGAAAAAUCAUCCACAAAUGUAACAAAGUACCGGAAACUAGAUGUAUCAGAAACACGACACGGACCCCAUAUAUCUGAAUGAACUAACUCAAAGGGACUAGACACAGGACUUUGAAAGCGAGAAGGAAAAGAGACUCUAUGAUGUUUUCCAAACUGACAAGCUUCACACUCAAAAGUACUCACAGACUCAGACUCUGGAAACAAUCGUCGAAGAAUGUUUGGCGGGGGAUGACCAGCAUGACAAUGCAUCUGAUAGACAUCAGUGGAUGUGUGCUUCAGAGCUGCUGCAGCUAUCACCUUCUUGUCCAGAUAGUAUAGGCCAUUUGAUUCAUGUCCCCCACCAAUCACCUGUCUAGUCCUCAGAUCCUGAAAAACACAAUGAGAAGCAAAAAAGGUUACAGAACAAUUUAGCUCUUUAGUUAAUGAACUAACAUAAAUCAAAUUAUAUGGAGAUUUGAGAUGAAGGAUGGAUGAUAAAGAAAUGGAGGAACUCAAAUGGGCAUCUCCAGUGCCAGUAACUUGGGAAAUUGAACCAUCAGCUAAGGUAACAGAGUUGGACACCCCAAGAGGUGUGGAAUUUAAUGAAGACAACAAUUUAGAGUUACCAGCUAUAUGAUGAGUAGCUCUAGAAUCUAUAACCCAAGAGUUUGACACUAUAGAAAGUAAACAGGAUGAACUAUCUUUUGAGUUAUGUACUAGAGUGGCAGUGGGAGCUGAAGUUCCUGUCACCUGUUUGGAGUGAAUCCAAGCCUCAUAUUCUGCACGUGUCAAUGUAACUGAAUCUUUUGUAUCCUGCACAUUAGUAGGAUCGGAUUGAACAAGUGAGAAAUCUUCAACUUCAACAAAUGCAGCAACUGUGGGUCGAAGCUCUGGAUGAAGCGUGUAGCAGUAAGCUUCAGUGUGUCCAGCCCUCCGACAAUGGUUACAAUAUCGAGUGCCACGGCUACCAAGAAUUCUAUCACGAUCACCACGACUUCCACCUUGAAUAAGCCCACGUCCAUGACCCCGAUAACCAUGACCACGAGCUCCACUUCCACUAGAGCCAUGAGAAAUCAUGGCACUUGUCUCUAAAGUUGUAGUGGAGAUCUUGUCAGUAGGUGUCGAGCGUAAGGCUCGGGAGAAAACCUCAUCAACUGUAGGAAGGGAGCUUUCAGACAUAAUCUGCUGACGAAGGGAGGAAUAGUCAGGCCCUAGUGCUUUAAGAAAUAGUAUCACUCGAAGAUCCUCCUGACCUUUGACUAAUACAUUUGGAUCAUUGGAAGCUGGAAGAUAAGUAUCUAGCUGUCUGCAAAGUGUAGUGAAACGAGCAUAAUAUUCAGAUAGAGACUGAUCUCCACGCUGAAGAUCAAACAGGGCCUCCCAUGUGUCACAUACUCGUGUCAUAUUAUUUUGGCCAGAAUAAAAUAGAGCACAUUUAUCCCAAACUUCCUUAGCAGAAUUACAUUGAAUAAAGUGAGGGCUAAUCUUUGGAUCCAUACUAUUCCAUAACAAUGUACGGAUCAUUGCAUCUCCAGCAAUCCAAUCAUCUACUUUACUCUUAUCCGAGGGAAGUGUGGAUGUAAGAUAAUCAUGCUGUCUAGUUGCAGUAAGAUAAACUUGUACAGCUUUAGACCAUGAUGGAUAGUUAGUGCCAUCCAACUUGACAGAUGUCAAUUGGAAAUGUGUCAAACCAGUAGAUGAUGUAGAAGCCAUCAGUAUUAACUCUACUGAACUCCAAUAAUGCAAUUAGCCAGACAGAUUGAACACAAGAAUCGACCGAACCCAAUAAGAAUGACA